This 428-nucleotide small RNA is filed under the name Pongo abelii (Sumatran orangutan). Its description in RNAcentral is "processed transcript". Lineage: Eukaryota; Metazoa; Chordata; Mammalia; Primates; Hominidae. The record is from RNAcentral.
CGGCAGACCAGAGGGAAUAUCAGCAGGAACUCAAAAAGAACUAUCACAAGCUAAAAGAGAACCUCAGGCCAAUGAUCGAGCGGAAAAUUCCAGAACUGUACAAGCCAAUAUUCAGAGUUGAGAGUCAAAAGAGGGACUCCUUCCACAGAUCUAGUUUCAGGAAAUGUGAAACCCAGUUGUCACAGGGCAGCUAAGAAAAGCCAUCUUCAUUCGUGGAGACUGUGGCCCUGCAACCCUGGAGAAGGACUUGCUGAACAUUGUGCUAUCUGUCAGCAUAUGUGUAUCAGCUACAAAAUAUAUUCAACUUUGACUUCUUUUGACAAUGGGCUUUAGGAAAAAGAGGAACAAAGACAUUAUUUGAGAAUUAAAUUAUCUAUUUUUAAUAUGACUGUGACCUUGACUGAUAAUAAAGAUGUAAUAAGAAUUGC